RNAcentral lists this unclassified non-coding RNA (39 nucleotides) under Trypanosoma simiae. RNAcentral's name for it is "partial med-RNA". Lineage: Eukaryota; Euglenozoa; Kinetoplastea; Trypanosomatida; Trypanosomatidae. The record is from RNAcentral.
AACUAAAAAUUAUUAUAUUACAGUUUCUGUACUAUAUUG